CGGUAGAGGAGCAAUCCUCGAGAGUGGCGAACGGGUGAGUAAUACAUCGGAACGUGCCCAGUCGUGGGGGAUAACGUAGCGAAAGCUACGCUAAUACCGCAUACGACCCGAGGGUGAAAGCGGGGGACUCGCAAGAGCCUCGCGCGAUUGGAGCGGCCGAUGGCAGAUUAGGUAGUUGGUGGGGUAAAGGCCCACCAAGCCUGCGAUCUGUAGCUGGUCUGAGAGGACGACCAGCCACACUGGGACUGAGACACGGCCCAGACUCCUACGGGAGGCAGCAGUGGGGAAUUUUGGACAAUGGGCGAAAGCCUGAUCCAGCCAUACCGCGUGCGGGAAGAAGGCCUUCGGGUUGUAAACCGCUUUUGUCAGGGAAGAAAUACUUCGGGCUAAUACCCUGGGGUGAUGACGGUACCUGAAGAAUAAGCACCGGCUAACUACGUGCCAGCAGCCGCGGUAAUACGUAGGGUGCAAGCGUUAAUCGGAAUUACUGGGCGUAAAGCGUGCGCAGGUGGUUCUAUAAGACAGAUGUGAAAUCCCCGGGCUCAACCUGGGAACUGCAUUUGUGACUGUAGAGCUAGAGUACGGUAGAG
RNAcentral lists this ribosomal RNA (590 nucleotides) under uncultured bacterium. RNAcentral describes it as "bacterial SSU rRNA". It matches the Rfam family "Bacterial small subunit ribosomal RNA", at positions 67 to 656 of the family's 1533-position model. The record is from RNAcentral.